RNAcentral lists this ribosomal RNA (496 nucleotides) under uncultured bacterium. Its description in RNAcentral is "bacterial SSU rRNA". It matches the Rfam family "Bacterial small subunit ribosomal RNA", at positions 30 to 522 of the family's 1533-position model. The record is from RNAcentral.
AUUGAACGCUGGCGGAAUGCUUUACACAUGCAAGUCGAACGGCAGCACGGGGCAACCUGGUGGCGAGUGGCGAACGGGUGAGUAAUACAUCGGAACGUGCCCAAUCGUGGGGGAUAACGUAGCGAAAGUUACGCUAAUACCGCAUACGAUCUACGGAUGAAAGCGGGGGAUCGCAAGACCUCGCGCGAAUGGAGCGGCCGAUGUCAGAUUAGGUAGUUGGUGGGGUAAAGGCUCACCAAGCCGACGAUCUGUAGCUGGUCUGAGAGGACGACCAGCCACACUGGGACUGAGACACGGCCCAGACUCCUACGGGAGGCAGCAGUGGGGAAUUUUGGACAAUGGGCGCAAGCCUGAUCCAGCCAUUCCGCGUGCAGGAUGAAGGCCUUCGGUUGUAACUGCUUUGUACGGUAACGAAACGGUUCUCUCUAAUACAGGGGCGUAAUGACGGUACCGUAAGAAUAAGACACCGGCUAACUACGUGCCAGCAGCCGCGGAA